RNAcentral lists this non-coding RNA (25 nucleotides) under Cricetulus griseus (Chinese hamster). The record is from RNAcentral. Lineage: Eukaryota; Metazoa; Chordata; Mammalia; Rodentia; Cricetidae.
CGAACCCGAGUCCUCUGGAAGAGCA